RNAcentral lists this ribosomal RNA (253 nucleotides) under uncultured bacterium. RNAcentral describes it as "partial 16S ribosomal RNA". It matches the Rfam family "Bacterial small subunit ribosomal RNA", at positions 524 to 776 of the family's 1533-position model. The record is from RNAcentral.
UACGUAGGGCGCAAGCGUUAUCCGGAAUUAUUGGGCGUAAAGAGCUCGUAGGCGGUUUGUCGCGUCUGCCGUGAAAGUCCGGGGCUCAACUCCGGAUCUGCAGUGGGUACGGGCAGACUAGAGUGCGGUAGGGGAGACUGGAAUUCCUGGUGUAGCGGUGAAAUGCGUAGAUAUCAGGAGGAAUACCGAUGGCGAAGGCAGGUCUCUGGGCUGACACUGACGCUCAUGCACGAAAGCGUGGGGAGCAAACAGG